UGGACCUUUAGCUCAGUUGGUUAGAGCAGACGGCUCAUAACCGUCCGGUCGUAGGUUCGAGUCCUACAAGGUCCAUCC
This 78-nucleotide transfer RNA is filed under the name Aerococcus viridans. RNAcentral describes it as "tRNA-Met". It matches the Rfam family "tRNA". Rfam says of the family: Transfer RNA (tRNA) molecules are approximately 80 nucleotides in length. The record is from RNAcentral. RNAcentral also lists the same sequence under 1 other name. Lineage: Bacteria; Bacillati; Bacillota; Bacilli; Lactobacillales; Aerococcaceae.